Molecule: long non-coding RNA, 322 nt
Filed under: Capsicum annuum
Lineage: Eukaryota; Viridiplantae; Streptophyta; Magnoliopsida; Solanales; Solanaceae
Description: long non-coding RNA (CANN_LNC014938)
Source: RNAcentral
CAGCUCAUUCCAAAAAUUUUUAGGAACAUUCCAGAUCCUUUGAAAAUGUCAAUGUUGCCCUCAAGGAUAUUUCUGCACAACUAGCAUUGUUGCAUGCUUCCUCUUCACCACAACUACCGCCGCCACCACCACCGCCGCCGACUACCACUAGCCCUUCCUCCAACAUCCCAAACCUUUUACCACCAACCUUUUUCCCCUCAAUCACCUAACCCUAAUUUUACCCAACCGCCUUAACCACACCCACUUGUAGUUCCUCCAAACACCCUUAACGAAUUUCGUCUUGAUAAACCUGCUCCGAUCGACCUACAAAAGUUCAAUGCCC